This 206-nucleotide long non-coding RNA is filed under the name Elaeis guineensis (African oil palm). Its description in RNAcentral is "long non-coding RNA (EGUI_LNC035794)". Lineage: Eukaryota; Viridiplantae; Streptophyta; Magnoliopsida; Arecales; Arecaceae. The record is from RNAcentral.
ACUGUCCCCUAGGACCCCUACUGUUCCCCAAAAAGUCUGGAUUCCUGGCCACUGUCGCUCUCCUGACCAACUUCCUUUUCUUCAAUAUCUUGAAUUUCUGUUUCCGAUGGGUCCAGUAACCGUCCUUAACGCCGUUUGAGGAAAAUGGAUCGUAGACUGACGGGAGAGAGAGGCUGCCGUCAUCGUCGGAGCUGUUGCUCGCGAGU